This 182-nucleotide ribosomal RNA is filed under the name Vellozia hirsuta. RNAcentral describes it as "5.8S ribosomal RNA". The stretch from base 1 to 120 matches the Rfam family "5.8S ribosomal RNA", at positions 37 to 154 of the family's 154-position model. Rfam says of the family: 5.8S ribosomal RNA (5.8S rRNA) is a component of the large subunit of the eukaryotic ribosome. It is transcribed by RNA polymerase I as part of the 45S precursor that also contains 18S and 28S rRNA. Lineage: Eukaryota; Viridiplantae; Streptophyta; Magnoliopsida; Pandanales; Velloziaceae. The record is from RNAcentral.
UGAAGAACGUAGCGAAAUGCGAUACUUGGUGUGAAUUGCAGAAUCCCGCGAACCAUCGAGUCUUUGAACGCAAGUUGCGCCCGAGGCCUCCCGGCCGAGGGCACGCCUGCCUGGGCGUCACGCCUCGCGUCGCUCCGCGCGCCCGCCCCGGCGCACGGACGCGGAUACUGGCCCCCCGGGCG